This 242-nucleotide unclassified non-coding RNA is filed under the name Paraglomus occultum. RNAcentral's name for it is "partial contains 5.8S ribosomal RNA and internal transcribed spacer 2". The stretch from base 1 to 65 matches the Rfam family "5.8S ribosomal RNA", at positions 84 to 154 of the family's 154-position model. Lineage: Eukaryota; Fungi; Glomeromycota; Glomeromycetes; Paraglomerales; Paraglomeraceae. The record is from RNAcentral.
GUGAAUCAUCGAAUUUUUGAACGCAAAUUGCGCCUUUUUCGGAAGGCAUGUCUGUUUGAGGGCACCAUUUAACAAAUAAGGUGCAGUUCGUGUGCACACGUUGAUGAGCUUUCCAAAUUUAUGUAUUAUUAUUUUUGUUGGCUCAUAAUAAACAACGCGAUGCUUUUGUUCAUUUCGAGGGUAGUAAAAUUUUUUCUUGCUUGGGUUUUGGAAUGCGGGAUCGCACAAGUGGUGAUGGCGAU